RNAcentral lists this ribosomal RNA (696 nucleotides) under uncultured archaeon. RNAcentral's name for it is "bacterial SSU rRNA". It matches the Rfam family "Archaeal small subunit ribosomal RNA", at positions 763 to 1458 of the family's 1478-position model. The record is from RNAcentral.
CUCGCUAGGUGUCAGGGACGGUGCGACCGUUUCUGGUGCCGCAGGGAAGCCGUGAAGCGAGCCACCUGGGAAGUACGGUCGCAAGGCUGAAACUUAAAGGAAUUGGCGGGGGAGCACUACAACGGGUGGAGCCUGCGGUUUAAUUGGACUCAACGCCGGAAAACUCACCGGGGGCGACAGCAAUAUGUAGGUCAAGCUAAAGACUUUACCAGAAUCGCUGAGAGGAGGUGCAUGGCCGUCGUCAGUUCGUACUGUGAAGCAUCCUGUUAAGUCAGGCAACGAGCGAGACCCGUGCCCACUGUUGCCAGCAUGUCCUUCGGGAUGAUGGGUACUCUGUGGGGACCGCCGAUGCUAAAUCGGAGGAAGGUGCGGGCUACGGUAGGUCAGUAUGCCCCGAAUCUCCCGGGCUACACGCGGGCUACAAUGACUGGGACAAUGGGCUCCUACCCCGAAAGGGGAUGGUAAUCUCAUAAACCCAGCCGUAGUUCGGAUCGAGGGCUGCAACCCGCCCUCGUGAAGCUGGAAUCCGUAGUAAUCGCGUUUCAACAUAGCGCGGUGAAUACGUCCCUGCUCCUUGCACACAUCGCCCGUCAAACCACCCGAGUGAGGUAUGGGUGAGGGCAUGGACAUUGUGCUGUGCUCGAACCUAAAUUUUGCAAGGGGGGUUAAGUCAUAACAAGGUAACCAAGGGCGAAU